RNAcentral lists this ribosomal RNA (400 nucleotides) under uncultured bacterium. Its description in RNAcentral is "bacterial SSU rRNA". It matches the Rfam family "Bacterial small subunit ribosomal RNA", at positions 355 to 770 of the family's 1533-position model. The record is from RNAcentral.
UCGAGAAUAUUUGUCAAUGGGCGAAAGCCUGAACAAGCGACGCCGCGUGCAGGAUGAAGGCCUUCGGGUCGUAAACUGCGGUAGAUAGGUAACAAUGCAAAUGAGUGCCUAUCGGAAAGAGGUGGGUAACUACGUGCCAGCACCAGCGGUAAUACGUAGACCUCAAGCGUUAUCCGGAUUUAUUGGGCGUAAAGCGUGUGUAGGGGGUUGUGUGCGUCUUCGGGUUAAAUCCCACCGCCUAACGGUGGACCUGCCCAAGAUACGACACAACUAGAGGAAGUUAGAGGUGCAUGGAGCGCACGGUGUAGGGGUGAAAUCCGUUGAUAUCGUGCGAAACACCAAAGGCGAAGGCAGUGCACUGGGACUUUCCUGACCCUGAGACACGAAAGCGUGGGGAGCA